Molecule: ribosomal RNA, 429 nt
Filed under: uncultured bacterium
Lineage: Bacteria
Description: bacterial SSU rRNA
Rfam family: Bacterial small subunit ribosomal RNA
Source: RNAcentral
AGUUAACGUUGGCGGCGUGCCUAACACAUGCAAGUCGAACGCUUUUCGGGGGCAACUCCGGAAUGAGUGGCGAACGGGUGAGUAACACGUGGGUAAUCUUCCUUUAAGUGGGGAAUAAACUCUCGAAAGGGAGUCUAAUACCGCAUGAUUUUCCAGGGCAUAAGUUCUGGAAUAAAAGCCGCAAGGCGCUUGAAGAUGAGCCCGCGUCCUAUUAGCUAGUUGGUAGGGUAAUGGCCUACCAAGGCUUAGAUGGGUAGCCGGCCUGAGAGGGUGAACGGCCACACUGGGACUGAGACACGGCCCAGACUCCUACGGGAGGCAGCAGUGAGGAAUUUUGCGCAAUGGGGGAAACCCUGACGCAGCGACGCCGCGUGGAGGACGAAGGCCUUCGGGUCGUAAACUCCUGUCAGAGGUGAAGAAUGCCCGCAA